Molecule: long non-coding RNA, 326 nt
Organism: Stegastes partitus (bicolor damselfish)
Lineage: Eukaryota; Metazoa; Chordata; Actinopteri; Pomacentridae
Exons: 4
Source: RefSeq, a predicted model, not a curated record
GCAAUCAGUCAGAGACUUCUCAAAGCCAGAACACUGCACCUCAUUCAUGUGGACCGGCCCGAUUCCUACAGGCUUUCCUGAAACCCAUGCUGACGCUCGGAGCAAAGGCCCGUCCUGGCACACAGCUGAUCACCACAGGCAUACCCUGCUCACAGGGCCCAUCCUUGAUCUGCUAAAACGUCCUCUGGCAGUGUUUGGCUUCUUGUCAAGAAUCUACAGACCAAAGACUGUUUAAUCUCAGUGUGGAAACUGGAUGAAGGCAUCUGUCUCCACUUGCCUCCGUCUUUCACUUCCAGAAAGCCCUCUGUGAUGGGAAUCCGUUUCCU